Molecule: ribosomal RNA, 282 nt
Filed under: uncultured Lachnospiraceae bacterium
Lineage: Bacteria; Bacillati; Bacillota; Clostridia; Lachnospirales; Lachnospiraceae
Description: partial 16S ribosomal RNA
Rfam family: Bacterial small subunit ribosomal RNA (bases 44-282)
Source: RNAcentral
UUUAAUCGAUUUCUUCGGAUUGAAAUUUUAGUGACUGAGUGGCGGACGGGUGAGUAACGCGUGGGUAACCUGCCUCACACAGGGGGAUAACAGUUGGAAACGGCUGCUAAUACCGCAUAAGCGCACAGUACCGCAUGGUACAGUGUGAAAAACUCCGGUGGUGUGAGAUGGACCCGCGUCUGAUUAGCCAGUUGGCGGGGUAACGGCCCACCAAAGCGACGAUCAGUAGCCGGUCUGAGAGGAUGAACGGCCACACUGGAACUGAGACACGGUCCAAACUCC